This is a long non-coding RNA of Pundamilia nyererei, 206 nucleotides long. RefSeq lists it as uncharacterized. The record is from RefSeq and is a predicted model, not a curated record. NCBI's taxonomy places the organism in Eukaryota, Metazoa, Chordata, Actinopteri, Cichliformes, Cichlidae. The transcript is spliced from 3 exons.
GCAUUUCUGAGGUUCAAAUGGGCAGCAAUGCAAACCAGACCCGGAUCCAGACACAGGAUCCAUCUUUUUAGGAGGCUUUUUGGCGCUAAAUAGUGGAGACCACUGCCAAAUGGGAAAACGACUACACACAGAGAAAGAAAGACCAGACUCAAUCAGGAAGUGGCAGCUUUUCAGCUGUGCCAGAGGAGCCGGGCAACUUCCUGGUC